RNAcentral lists this ribosomal RNA (432 nucleotides) under uncultured bacterium. Its description in RNAcentral is "partial 16S ribosomal RNA". It matches the Rfam family "Bacterial small subunit ribosomal RNA", at positions 29 to 506 of the family's 1533-position model. The record is from RNAcentral.
AACGAACGCUGGCGGCAUGCCUAACACAUGCAAGUCGAACGAGACCUUCGGGUCUAGUGGCGCACGGGUGCGUAACGCGUGGGAACCUGCCCUUAGGUUCGGAAUAACUCCCCGAAAGGGGUGCUAAUACCGGAUAAUGUCUUCGGACCAAAGAUUUAUCGCCUUUGGAUGGGCCCGCGUUGGAUUAGCUAGUUGGUAGGGUAAAAGCCUACCAAGGCGACGAUCCAUAGCUGGUCUGAGAGGAUGAUCAGCCACACUGGGACUGAGACACGGCCCAGACUCCUACGGGAGGCAGCAGUGGGGAAUAUUGCACAAUGGGCGAAAGCCUGAUCCAGCAAUGCCGCGUGAGUGAUGAAGGCCUUAGGGUUGUAAAGCUCUUUUACCCGGGAUGAUAAUGACAGUACCGGGAGAAUAAGCUCCGGCUAACUCCGU